UUCCGGUUGAUCCUGCCGGAAAUCACCGUUAUCAGAAUUCGACCAAGCCAUGCGAGGCGCGAGCUAUUUGGGCUCGCCGAACUGCUCAGUAACACGUAGCUAACAUGCCCUCAAGCGGGGGAUAAUCUUGGAAAUCUGAGGCUAAUACCCCAUAGCUGUUGGAUGCUGGAAUGCUUCAACAGUCAAAGCUCCGGCACUUGAGGAUUGGGCUGCGGCCUAUCAUGGCUGUUGCGAGUGNAAAGUACUCACAAACCUUUAACGGGUAGGGGUCAUGAGAGUGGGAGCCUCGAGAUGCCUUCU
RNAcentral lists this ribosomal RNA (300 nucleotides) under uncultured archaeon. RNAcentral's name for it is "partial 16S ribosomal RNA". It matches the Rfam family "Archaeal small subunit ribosomal RNA", at positions 1 to 304 of the family's 1478-position model. The record is from RNAcentral.